RNA transcript from Eupeodes corollae, 1099 nucleotides. RefSeq lists it as uncharacterized. The transcript is spliced from 4 exons. NCBI's taxonomy places the organism in Eukaryota, Metazoa, Arthropoda, Insecta, Diptera, Syrphidae. The record is from RefSeq and is a predicted model, not a curated record.
ACGACGACAUUUGACGAUCAACGAUCGACGAUCGAGCUUCUAGACGCUCAGUACUUUUAAUUUCAAUACCUCUUCACAAUUGAGUCUCUAGUCGAAUAUAUUCGAAAUAAAUGUGACAGAUAGCUUGUGGAAUUGAGUUUGUUGUUCGUUAAAUUGUUUUAGUGUAUUUACUUCUCCUAACGCGGCACAACGAAUUAUUGUUUUGUUAUAAAAAUUUCGCUCAUUGUUUGUCAUCUUUGUUUAGAUCUAAAAACACCCCCACCACAGCCGCCGCGCCGCGCCUUACUACUCCGAUUCUAAUUAACCGAGUAUUGUGAUUUUUGUUUAAAAACUUUUUUUAACUUAGUUAUGCAUUGGAUAUUCUUCCAUCAGCCAGUCAUCACUCAGGAUGUGAACGAGCUAAAGCGAAAAUUUAAAAAAAAAAAGUCACGCGAAAUGCUUCUGCCAACGAAUUUUAGCGUCUUAGUUUCGGAAAUUCCUUAUCGUAGUUCUAAAUUUCAGGAAACGACAAACGAUUCUGAGAUUUUUAACAAUAUAUCACGCAGUAAAAAUCGUUUACUCAAAUCGAUCUCUCCGUAUAGACUGAAUGAUGAGAAUUUGGUAGAACUUGCACCGCUCUUGCCGUUCUUAGUGAUCUUGACCAUUCUCUUUCUUUUAUUGCUGGCUGUAAGUUUUCAGCGCUGGCCAGGUUUGGUAGCGGGUGUUGUAGCCGGUUGUCUAACAUCAUUGACUGUUUACUUGAUAAUGAGUACACUUGCUGGGGAUAUUCCGUUGUAUGAAUAGGACAUGAAUGUUGGGACUAUUUUUAUAGCCUCGGUGGCGCAGUAGGCAGCGCUUACGUUUUGUUCUAUAAAUGACGAAUGCCAAAAAAGCGACAACAUAACAGAACUUUCACUGACCGAAAUGACGUUUCUCACAUCUAGAUCUACGCCAGAGUAAAAGAUCCCGUGGUCACCAAAUUGUACGUCAUUUGUUUCACAGUCAGGAAUAUUUCAAUAAUACACACUAUGUUACGUGAGAUUAUAUCUAAUUGGCAGAAGCAACAAAUAUUGCAUCGUCUAAAAAGUUUUGGGGGGAGCACAUAUCAAAGUUAUAUGCA